Molecule: ribosomal RNA, 656 nt
Filed under: Acinetobacter johnsonii
Lineage: Bacteria; Pseudomonadati; Pseudomonadota; Gammaproteobacteria; Moraxellales; Moraxellaceae
Description: bacterial SSU rRNA
Rfam family: Bacterial small subunit ribosomal RNA
Source: RNAcentral
AGCGGGGAAGUAUAGCUUGCUAUACGACCUAGCGGCGGACGGGUGAGUAAUGCUUAGGAAUCUGCCUAUUAGUGGGGGACAACAUUCCGAAAGGAAUGCUAAUACCGCAUACGCCCUACGGGGGAAAGCAGGGGAUCUUCGGACCUUGCGCUAAUAGAUGAGCCUAAGUCAGAUUAGCUAGUUGGUGGGGUAAAGGCCUACCAAGGCGACGAUCUGUAGCGGGUCUGAGAGGAUGAUCCGCCACACUGGGACUGAGACACGGCCCAGACUCCUACGGGAGGCAGCAGUGGGGAAUAUUGGACAAUGGGCGAAAGCCUGAUCCAGCCAUGCCGCGUGUGUGAAGAAGGCCUUUUGGUUGUAAAGCACUUUAAGCGAGGAGGAGGCUACUUGGAUUAAUACUCUAGGAUAGUGGACGUUACUCGCAGAAUAAGCACCGGCUAACUCUGUGCCAGCAGCCGCGGUAAUACAGAGGGUGCGAGCGUUAAUCGGAUUUACUGGGCGUAAAGCGUGCGUAGGCGGCUUUUUAAGUCGGAUGUGAAAUCCCUGAGCUUAACUUAGGAAUUGCAUUCGAUACUGGGAAGCUAGAGUAUGGGAGAGGAUGGUAGAAUUCCAGGUGUAGCGGUGAAAUGCGUAGAGAUCUGGAGGAAUACCGAUGG